RNAcentral lists this long non-coding RNA (5974 nucleotides) under Sus scrofa (pig). RNAcentral describes it as "lncRNA (ENSSSCG00060008817.1)". Lineage: Eukaryota; Metazoa; Chordata; Mammalia; Artiodactyla; Suidae. The record is from RNAcentral.
AUUGAAGUAGAGUUGACUUACAGUGUUGUGUUCAUUUCUGCUGUACAGCAGCGUGAUUCAGUUACACAUAUGCACAUAUCCAUUCCCAUAUAGGUUAUCACAGAAUAUUGAGGAGAUUUUCAGGGGCUAUACGCAGGGCUCCAUUUACCCUGCAUUCCGUAUACCAUAGUGUGCCCGUGCCAUCCCAAGCUCCCCAAUCUUUCCCUCCCCCUGACCUGGUAUUUUUCUUAAUUUAAAACAGCACUUUAUAUAAUAAAGCCCUCAAUCUACUGUUUGUCAUACAUUUUCCCCUCAUUUAUCUUCUGUUUAUGGUAUGUGUUUUGCACACACAAAACUUAAAUAAUUGUGCAGGUGAAAUUUUUAAUUUUUUCCUUUCUGGAUUCUGAGGUGUAUCUCUUUUCAAGAAAGGCCUUCUCAGUCUCAAGAUUAUGGAAUUCUUAUUUUUUUAGUUUCUUUUCCUAUUUUUAUAAUUUUUCAAAAUGUAUAUACAUCUUCAUUACAUUGCAAUGUAUUUUGUGUGUGUGAAUGUGGCAUGAGGUGAAAACUCAAUUUUUCCCUCCUCCACAUGGGUAACUAAUUAUUCCAGCAUUGUUUAUGGAAAAAUAUUUAGUCUUUCUCCACUAACAAGAAAUACAAUCUUUAUCAGAUACUAGAUUCCCAUAUAUACACUUUAUUUUAUUAGCCUAUUUUAUUCUAUUUUACACUCUAUUUUAUUCAUUUAUCUAUAUGAUCUUCCUACAACCUUGUCAUAAUGCUUAUUAUUCUGACUUUGUAUUAUCUUUUAAAAUCCAAUAAAGCAAGCAUCCUCUUUUAUUUUUUUACAAAAAUUGUUUAUUCUCAUGUAUCCAUCCAAUCUCCUAGACAAAAGUUCGAAUCAAUUUGUUCUUUUAAUCAGAAAUUUAACUGAAACUUAUAAACUAACUUGGAGGAGAAUUGAAAUCUUCACAACGUUUAGCCAUCCCAAGCAGAAAUACAGUAUUUAGUUUAUUUAGAUUUCCUUUGAUAUACUUCAAUAUUUGCUUCUAAACAGGUCUUAGAUAUUUCUUGCAUGAAUAAGUCACUGUAUUUUCAGUUUUGUGGGUGAUUUAUGCUUUGUUUUGUUUUUGCUAUGGUGAAUGGAAUAAUUUUCAUUUUAUAUUUUCAACUUGUUAUUACUAUUAUAUAAGAAAGCUAGUUUGUGUCUGGGAAUCCUUGCAAACUCUCUUAUUUUUUCUAUUAAGUAAUCAGUGGAGUCUCUUGGAUUUUCCAUUUAAUAACUGCUUGACUUAUUAGCCUAUUAUAGAAAAUGAAAACAUAAAAAAGGAAAGAAGCGAACAGUACCUGUAAAAUCAAUUCUUCUGAAAUAGACAUUGUUAAGAUUUUGAUGAAUAUCCUUCAAAAAAGUAUGAUAUAUAUAUAUAUAUAAAGCAUUUACUAAAGGNCAUUGUGCAUAUAUCUACUGAAGUAGACAAACAUAUAUGUCUAUGAAUUAAGUAGAAUGUAUACCAAAUCUCACAGACAGCAUCAUAACAUGAAUAUUGUUUUCUAAUCCACUUUUCCUACUUAAUAAAAUGUUAUCCAACCUUUUUUCCAUGUUAUUAUUCUACAUUAGCAUUUUAAUGACUGCAUUAAAUGUAUGAAUUUAUUUAAGCGAUCCUCUCACUUUGAACAGUUGAGUCCAUUUUGCAAUAUUGUGAUUCUAGAGUAAACACCUCAUUACCAAAAUAUUUAUGAAUAUUAUGAUUCUUUCUUUAGGAGAAAUUUCUAGAAGUGGACUUUCUGGAUGCAAAAGGCUUUUGCGACGAAGUUGACAAGUUGCCUUCAGAAAGCUUAUUCUCCCACCUCUGCUUUUAAAUACAUAUUUCUUCUUCACAUCUCCCCUUCUUCAACGAACAUUAUACAACAGGCAUUUCUUAAGUUCUUAACCUCACUGGCAACAUUAUUUUAAUAGUAGUAUUCUGUCAGCCACCAACCCUCCUUGGAGCCUUCACAGUUCCUUCUGUUUCCUGGGAUAACCCCCAAAUUCCCAACUUCCAGACCAAGUAGCUUCAUUUGACAUUGGGGAGCCUCCCCUGGGGGUUCCAGCUUCUAAAGUCAAAAUAAAAUGGUUAACUCAGCCCAAUCCUGUUCACUCCGUGCAGCGGGAAGGUCGCCAGGAGGCACCAUGAAAUGGAAAUCAUUCUAAGUUUUCUGCCGUGUAUUUUUUCUACACGGUGGAGAAGAUCCAUUUGUGUUUUAAACAAAAACGCCCCCUUCUUGUCAUCUUCUCUCAGUCAAAAAGGUAUCAUCUUUUCCCCGAACAGGUAUUUGCUUGGCAAGAAACUCCUCAUUCAGAAACCCUUCCAGCAAGGGGAUAAAUUUUUCUAAGGCAGCGAGUGACUACACACACAUCUGCAUUGACAAGUCACAACUUAUAGCCUUCUAUGGUGUUUCUGCGCUUUUGAAAAUGUUAAUAAAAACUUAAUGUGGAAAAAAACCAACUUUUUCCAAAUAUGUGUACCAAUAAGCCCAAGGCAACUCAUACUUUCUUAUAAAAUAAAGUAGGUCACUCACAUCAAUCAUGUUGUCUUAGCACAUUUUUUCCAAAUUAGGAAUUCUCAAUCCAUCAGACCCGGUUAUGGCAUCUCUUUUCCAAACAUUUCCUUUUAAUAUGCUCUUUAACAUGAUAAGCAAAUCUAAUAGAAUACAUUAGUGUCACUUUUCCGUGAUGGAGUGUUUCCUCCUGUUGUGACCCACGAUGCGUUCAGGGAAAGAUUUUUACUGGUUCCCCCUGGAACAGCGAUUGUUUAUGGCACAUGUGCCAAUGGCCCUAAAGCUGCCAAGGCUACACUUGGGUGCUGACCUUAGAAAGACCCCAGGACUCUGACCUCACCUCUCCAGGGAUCAUAGAUGUAGAAAAGUCAAAAGAUGUGUGUUUCCCAAAGCAAAAUAAUAAAUCCAGAUUCUGUACGUGAGGAGUGUUUAAAUUGAGGCUGUCGAUACAGUAGAGUUGCUCAUGCACACGGACUAUCCCAUACAGAUCAAAAGCUUGUACUGGGCUUCAUUUUAAAACCACAUUGCUUGCAGAACAUUUCCAAAUCUCCUGAAUCACGCAGCAAGGGAGGAUCCUUGGCUUCAGACACGUGGGAUGCUCCAAAACCAGUUACCAUCUUCUUGCAAGUGAAUUUGGACAUUGUAUGAGAUGCACGCUCUGUUUACAACCCACUGGAGAUAAAUAUAUUUGUAUGUUCAUAUAUUUGACAACAUUUACCUGGCAAAACCAGAGUCUUUGUUUCCACUCAUACCUCUGGUUCCUGGACUCGUGUGUUCAGUGUUAGCACUGGCCUUUCUUUUAUCUGGACAGAGUUUGGGAAUAAAACACUUGUGAAAGUUGGGGAUUGGGAGAGGUUUGUGGAGCGCCCAGGAAUUCAGUUGUUUCAGACUUUUUGGCCACCCAGCAGGAAAACAUCUGAAUGGAAAAGGAAAAGUUUAGUUUGUCUUCUGGAUCUUUCAAAUGGAUACGUAAGGUCCUGCGGACACUGGUUUCGAUGGCCCAUCCUGUAAGUCACAUCACUUCUUCCUAAUGUCCUAGGAAACAAGAAAGUAACGUUAUGGCCUCUGAUCAGCCAUAGCUUCCUGACCCUGCCCCAUUCUUGCCCAGAGCUAAUGACUUGAGGCUCUGUGUGUCCAUCACAAAAAUGUGUGUGCUAGGGGCAGUGACGGACACAUAAAGUCAUAGCUCCUGCCCUUGAGAUGCUUGAGGUCAGGUUUGAUAUCAAAUAGAAUACAAUAAGGAAAAGAAAAAAAAAAAAUCCAGGGAGCUCAGAGGAGGGAGAGGUCAUUGCCAGGUAAGGGUGAGUGCAGAAAAAGAUUGAGAAGACGGUCUUCGAGCCAGGCCCUGACCAGUGAGUGGGCUUUGGAUCUGCACAGAUGGGGGAAGGGCAUUCUAGGUCAAAGGCACAGUGAGAGUAAGGGGCGGGGAGCAGGCGUGGGAAAGCAUGCAGGGAGCAGAGGCAUGACAAACAAUUGAGGACCAGCUGAACACAGGCUGCAGAAAGAGAAGCAUUAGAGGAAAUCAGGGAAGGGAGAUUGAUGCUAGUGUGUGAGAUGCCUUGAGUGCCAACAUAAGGAGAAAAGCCUCCAGGGAAUGCUCCCCCUCUGUACCCCCAAAAUUGUUCUGGUCACAUCACCACGUCUGUCUGGAAUAGGAAGAUUAUUAGGGUGAUCAUGUUUAUGUAGGUGCAUUUAAACCCCCUCAACCUUUUGUCUCUUUAACCCUUCUUCUCUACGUAGGCUAAUGCUAUGGCAAAUUUAAGUGUUUUCCAUUGCUGACGUUUGGAGCACCAUCCUGGAAAUUCCUGCUGGCCUCAAAACCAUUGCUUACAGAGAUUUAGGAUUCUUGCAAGUUCAGUGGUUUCUCUGAGUCGAUUAACAUUUGUAGAAGCUGCCCCUUUCCUUGUGGCCCAUGGACCCAGAGGGGACUAUGCAGUGCAAGACUUGAGGUGUUUCGGUAAACCCAUCACUUUGUUCACCACACAUUUAUUGAGCAACUACUAUGUGUCUUAAUAUUGUUCCAUGUGCUGAGGACGAAGCGUGUAAACAGAACAGACAGGGUCCCUUGUCUUCAUGGGGUUUACUUUCUGGUGGGACAGACAGAAAGUUAUCGAGAUCAUUUCAAAGUUAUAAGGAAAACAAAGGAAAUAAGCUAAGCGACAUGAAAGAGUGACAGGAAGCAAGAAAAGGACGACCACGUCGGAGAAGAUGGACAGAGAAGGCCUGAAGGAGGGAGGCUGGGAAGAAGGCAGCUAGAGGAAUGGCUGAGGGAGAAACAUGGAGAACAGGGGAUGCAGCAAGUGCAAGUGUGGGGUGAGCUGGAAGAAGCUAGGAAAUGAGAGGGACAGGGAGCAGAUAGGGCUGGAGCAAGGCAGGAGCCCUUUUGGGAUUUGAGGUACCAUGGGAAGCUCCUGCAGGGUUUGAGGCGGGAAGUGACCAAGCUAUGAAUGUUCGAGCCACCAUGAGGCACCAUCUGCUCCGCCUCUCCGUUGCUGGCUUGCCCCGCAAAGUCAAAACGAGUGCUCGGAGUGCAUCAGCUUUUAUUUUUACAGCAAUCUUUGUACCCAAACCACCGUAGCAUUUUUAAUAACAAACUGGCAGGGAGUCAGACAUCUGUACUUGAAAAAAACAGCCCAAGCCAAGUAUUUCUAAAUGUUUUAUAUUUACUUGUAACAUUAGAAUAACCAUGAGGUUGCUUUUUGCAUAAUCGGAACCAUUCUCAUUAGGGUUCGACAGAUCUCAUCCUUCAUGGGCUUGGGUGGUGGUUUUCAUUAUGGCAGUGACAUUGAUCUGACGGGAGUGCAUCUCUCCUUGAACGUUUGUGGAUAAAAGAGGAAGAAGAUGAGAGAAGUCAGGGCAGGCCAGGAAAAUGAGAACUCUACAAAGAUAACCAUCAGCUUGGCAUUGGGGUGCCCUGAAAAGAGUCCAGGUUUCAAACUUCAGCAGAUCUGGGCUAGAAGUUCAGCUGGGUGACCUUGGGUGAGUCACUUAACCUCUCUGGGCUCCUGUCUACUCAUAGGCAGAAGGAGGAUGAUAAUAGAAACUACUUCAUGGAGUUGUGGUGCGGUCUUAAUGCAAUAACAUGGGUAAAGGGGCCUAGUACAAGGGUGUUUUCUGCUUGCCUUCCUCCAAAAUUAGCGUUUCACAUCCAAGAUGGAGACACUACCCUCCAUCUUUUUUCUAAAGUAGGCUUGCAAGAUUUAUCAAGCAAAAAUACAGUAUAUCCAGUUCAAUUUGGAUUUCAGAUAAACAACAAAUACUUAUUUUCUAUAAAUGUGUCCCAUGUAAUAUUUGGGACACACUUAGAGCAAUCAAGGAAUCCUUUAUCUGGAAACACUGUUCUAAAGGUUUACUGAUCCCAGGAGUUCCCUGGUGGCCUAGUGAUUAAGGACUGGGCAUUGUCACUGCUGUGGCUCAGGUCACUGAUAUGGAGUGGGUUUGAUCUCUGACCUGGGAAUUUCCG